GAACAAAAUCUUAGAUGACAUCUUCAUUCGAACUCGAUGACAAACUUGAAUCUAAAUAUUACCAGAAUGCAUCACAUUCGUAGCCAAACUUUAAAGAGAAGAAAACUAAGAACAUGAUAUCCAGGAUAUUAGUUGACGCUUUUAAAGUAUUUUGUACUGACUUCCGAUUUACUUUAUAUUCAUUACGUCAAAGUCUUAAUCGGGAACCGUUUAACACAUAAAUUGAAUAUUGGAAGUCCUGUACACUAUGUGUGAGUAGAUAUGAUCUUAUAAAAUGUAAAAUGGACUGUGAGUAUUGGAUUUAGUCUGAGGAGUGCCAUAUUAUCCGAAGAAAGGAUCAAUUUUAAACCUAUCACUUACAACAUUUAAAUACAGAAAUAAUGGUUAACAAAAAGUCUUCUCAUUAGAAGACUAGAAAUUUGGAAACUGAACAAAAUCUUAGAUGACAUCUUCAUUCGAACUCGAUGACAAACUUGAAUCUAAAUAUUACCAGAAUGCAUCACAUUCGUAGCCAAACUUUAAAGAGAAGAAAACUAAGAACAUGAUAUCCAGGAUAUUAGUUGACGCUUUUAAAGUAUUUUGUACUGACUUCCGAUUUACUUUAUAUUCAUUACGUCAAAGCCUUAACCGGAAACCGUUUAACACAUAAAUUGAAUAUUGAAAGUCCUGUACAUUAUGUGUGAGUAAAUAUGAUCUUAUAAAAUGUAAAAUGGACUGUGAGUAUUGGAUUUAGUCUGAGGAGUACCAUAUUAUCCGAAGAAAGGAUCAAUUUUAAACUUAUCACUUACAACAUUUAAAUACAGAAAUAAUGGUUAACAAAAAGUCUUCUCAUUAGAAGACCAGAAAUUUGGAAACUUAACAAAAUAUUAGAUGACAUCUUCAUUCGAACUCGAUGACAAACUUGAAUCUAAAUAUUACCAGAAUGCAUCACAUUCGUAGCCAAACUUUAAAGAGAAGAAAACUAAGAACAUGAUAUCCAGGAUAUUAGUUGACGCUUUUAAAGUAUUUUGUACUGACUUCCGAUUUACUUUAUAUUCAUUACGUCAUAGUCUUAAUCGGGAACCGUUUAACACAUAAAUUGAAUAUUGGAAGUCCUGUACACUAUGUGUGAGUAAAUAUGAUCUUAUAAAAUGUAAAAUGGACUGUGAGUAUUGGAUUUAGUCUGAGGAGUGCCAUAUUAUCCGAAGAAAGGAUCAAUUUUAAACUUAUCACUUACAACAUUUAAAUACAGAAAUAAUGGUUAACAAAAAGUCUUCUCAUUAGAAGACUAGAAAUUUGGAAACUGAACAAAAUCUUAGAUGACAUCUUCAUUCGAACUCC
Long non-coding RNA from Teleopsis dalmanni, 1320 nucleotides. RefSeq lists it as uncharacterized. The record is from RefSeq and is a predicted model, not a curated record. Lineage: Eukaryota; Metazoa; Arthropoda; Insecta; Diptera; Diopsidae. The transcript has 4 exons.